UUUUAGGCAAAACAUUCCAAAACAUGCACCAGCACAAUUUUACAUUGACAAUGUUCUGCCUCGAAUCAAGGAGAAGAAGAUAAUGGCCCUGAAGUCUUUUGUUAAUCAACUUGGGUAUGUCAAUGUUCCUCAAGAAAUCAACAGGCUGAGGUGCGGGGUGAACUAUCACGCUCUUAAAUUUCUUCCUGAAAUAGAGCAGAUGGCUAAUUUAUUGGCAUCAAGGAUGAGAAACCGCACCGGAAGUUCCAAUCCUUAUAUGGUCCUGCAUCUUAGGUUUGAGAACUGCAUGGUAGGUCUAUCCUUCUGUGAUUUUUUGGGGAUGCUAAGGUAUUCAAAUUUCGGUUUGUAUAGUAAAACGCAAACUUAGUUCAAGGUGAAUGUCUUACCGGAAAAAAGGUCAGGUUGAAGAGAUACUUGGAGAUGAGGGGUGCUGAUGGAGGACCAGCCUUGGAGAAGCUUAUGUGCUUUGCUUGCAUUUUGGAUUAGGUUUUGGCUUAGAACAUAUCACUCUGGUUGGCUUAGAACCUACAAAAGAGUAUCAAUAAAUUUUUUGUCGCCGGGUAGCAAGAAAAAUGAUAAAGAAAUAUGUCUGGUACCAGGUUUUGGCGACUAGCUCAGCUCCUUCCUAGACACUUAUUUUUCUGAAUAUGGCAUGGAGGCCAUCUAUUUUGAUGAAGGUGCAAGGAACUCAAGAGCACACCAACUGGAAACAAGAGCAUUGGAUGUGACCUUUCGUGAAGAGUUGAAAGCAGUAAAUUAAAGGAUCUGCAGACUCAAAACCAACAAAUGCUGUGAACAAGGAACCAGCUAAAGAUGCGGAGUCUGAACUGCAAUCAUUGACAAGUUUUUUUUUGCCAAGUUUAACCAUUUUUUGUAAUAUGCACAUAUACGCGCCUACUUGGUUAUCAUAUUUUGAAAUCUGGCUAAAUUACCAGAUUUUGGAUCAUGUAAAACAAUGUCUAAUGUAAUAUAU
Rosa chinensis is the source of this 973-nucleotide RNA transcript. It is a transcript of the gene named protein ROOT HAIR DEFECTIVE 3-like, with no coding region annotated. The record is from RefSeq and is a predicted model, not a curated record. The transcript is spliced from 7 exons. NCBI's taxonomy places the organism in Eukaryota, Viridiplantae, Streptophyta, Magnoliopsida, Rosales, Rosaceae.